GCUCGGAGGCCGUCGCUGAGGAGCGGUGGGACGCGGCGCGCGGGGCUCGCGCGAGCAGGACGCGGGUGGGCGCGGGCGGGUGCGCCGCCCCCUCUGCCCGGGGCCGCUCGCUCGCCGCCGGAACGCCUGCUGUGCGCUGCCCGCUGCUGCGGCGGCGUUACGGCGCACCUGCGUGUGUUGCGGGAGCUGUCCCGGCGACGUGCCGGAGUGACGCUUCCAAAGGAAAUAUCUUCUUUGUAGCUAAAGGGGGAAGCCAGAAAGUCGUGGAGGAGGCGGUGACGGAGAGGAGCGCUGCUGCGAUAGCGCGGGUUACGCACGCAGCUGCUGCGUUAAGACUUAGCAGGAGGAGAUCCUGUGGUGUCCCCCGCAGGGCUUGCGUGCUCGCGCUGCUCCUUGCCUGGCUUGCCAGGCCUGCUUAAUUUCACGGGCUCGCUAAGGUUGGAAGAGACCUCCCAGAUCCCUUCCAGAAUUGCUGGAUGAUCGGGGUUUCCCCUCUGAGCCCGUGGUGGAAUCACCACCAGCCGCUUACUGCAAGUAGCAUCAGAAGCACGUCGUGUGGAGGGGACCUUUCCUUUAAACGUCCACUUUGAACUGGUAGUCAGGGUGCUAAAAGGAGCUGCGCUUCAGUGCUGAUCGUUUACGAAGCAGCUCCUCAAACUCCCUCAUGUGCUCUUAAGCCAGGCCCCAAAUAAUCGGUGCCUCCGUAGGUAGGCCUGCUGGGGCCGCAAGCUUCCUCUCCUCAAUAGCUGCCUGAGCUUUCAGGGUUCUGCGGGAGUUUGGGAGGGGAGUUCCGUGACACCGGGAGCGUCCACUUCUCUAAGUUUUCUCCUGAGUUCCUCCACACCCUCUGCCUCUCAACGUUACGCAGCUUUGGGGAAGAUCCCCGACCGAUACUGAUAGUGAAAAGCACGUUCUGAAGACGUGGCAAUGUGAACAACGGGAUUCUGUUGGUUUGAACGUUCCAGAAACUUUGAGGGGGAGAAAAGGAGAAGGGUGGGAGGAGGGAACCCGUGAAAACAUCUCUCUGCCCAUUGACAGAUUCCCUGGGAAGAAGCAGUGGAGGGAAUGAAAGCAUUAGCACCCUCGGGACUUUGAAGUAACUUCUGAGGCUCAAACUGUGCCGCGUUGUAUACGAACACCAGACGGGUGUCCCAGCUGUGCUUUUAGGGCUCUCGUAUAU
Gallus gallus (chicken) is the source of this 1180-nucleotide long non-coding RNA. RefSeq lists it as uncharacterized. The transcript has 2 exons. NCBI's taxonomy places the organism in Eukaryota, Metazoa, Chordata, Aves, Galliformes, Phasianidae. The record is from RefSeq and is a predicted model, not a curated record.